Molecule: ribosomal RNA, 1677 nt
Filed under: Neogriphoneura sordida
Lineage: Eukaryota; Metazoa; Arthropoda; Insecta; Diptera; Lauxaniidae
Description: eukaryotic LSU rRNA
Rfam family: Eukaryotic large subunit ribosomal RNA (bases 541-1677)
Source: RNAcentral
GACGCAGCAAACUGUGCGUCAUCGUGUGAACUGCAGGACACAUGAACAUCGACAUUUUGAACGCAUAUCGCGGUCCAUGCUGUUAUGUACUUUAAUUAAUUUUAGAGUGCUGCUUGGACUACAUAUGGUUGAGGGUUGUAAGACUAUGCCAAAUAAGUUGCUUAUUUUUAUUAAAAUUAAUUUUCUAAUAGAAAUUUAAGCGCAUGUUAUAUUAUUGGGUAACUUUGAUGUUAUUCAUAAUAUUAAAAGUAAAAAAUUAAUAGCCUCAAUAAAUGAAUCAAAGUAUUCAAUAAAAUUUAAUAUAAAUACUGAGGAAGGUCUAGCAUAAAAUAAAUUUAUCUUGAAUUGCCUCUUAUUUAUAAAUUUUAUAAAGAAAUAUUGUUAUACAAUUGUUAAAAUGUAUGAAAAUGAAAUUUUUACGGAAGACCAUAUAUAAAAUAAUAUAUAAAUCAUACUUAAAAACAUAGUAGAAGAAAAGAAGAAAAGAUUCAUUUUAAAUUGAUGUUAUAAUUUUAGAAAAAUAUUAUAUAUAUUUUUAUACAACCUCAACUCAUAUGGGACUACCCCCUGAAUUUAAGCAUAUUAAUGAGGGGAGGAAAAGAAACUAACAAGGAUUUUCUUAGUAGCGGCGAGCGAAAAGAAAUCAGUUCAGCACUAAGUCACUUUGUUUUUAUGACAAAUGUGAGAUGCAGUGUAUGGAACGUCUAUAAUCUAGUAUGAGAAAUUAACGAUUUAAGUCCUUCUUAAAUGAGGCCAUUUACCCAUAGAGGGUGCCAGGCCCGUAUAACGUUAAUGAUUACUAGAAGAUGUUUCCAAAGAGUCGUGUUGCUUGAUAGUGCAGCACUAAGUGGGUGGUAAACUCCAUCUAAAACUAAAUAUAACCAUGAGACCGAUAGUAAACAAGUACCGUGAGGGAAAGUUGAAAAGAACUCUGAAUAGAGAGUUAAAUAGUACGUGAAACUGCUUAGAGGUUAAGCCCGAUGAACCUGAAUAUCCAUUAUGGAAAAUUCAUCAUUAUGUAUAUAAUAUUUAUAAUAUUAUAGAAAUAGUGUGCAUUUUUUCCAUAUAAGGACAUUGUAAUCUAUUAACAUAAUAAAUAUUUAUCAAAAGGUCAUUUUGCUUAUGUUUAUUCAAAUUAAUUUGCUUGCAAGUUAACACAGAAUAAAUGCUUAUGAUUUGAUAAAGUGUUGAUAGAUUAAUAUUAUAUAGAGCUUAAAUACUUUUGUAUUUUACAAUAGCGUAAUUAUCUUAUGAUUUUUAUGUUUAUUGUAUGCACUUAUAUGAUUAACAAUGCGAUAGAUUCAGGAUACCUUCGGGACCCGUCUUGAAACACGGACCAAGGAGUCUAACAUAUGUGCAAGUCAUUGGGAUUAUUUAUAUAAACCCAAAGGCGUAAUUAACUUAACUGUUUAAAUGGGAUUAGUUUUUAGUCAAUAUGUCUAUUAAUUCAAUCCCGGGGCGUUCUAUACAGUUAUGUAUAAUAGUAUUUAUAUUAUUUAUACCUCUAACUAGAGCGUACCUUGAGCAUAUAUGCUGUGACCCGAAAGAUGGUGAACUAUACUUGAUCAGGUUGAAGUCAGGGGAAACCCUGAUGGAAGACCGAAACAGUUCUGACGUGCAAAUCGAUUGUCAGAAUUGAGUAUAGGGGCGAAAGACCAAUCGAACCAUCUAGUAGUG